Molecule: ribosomal RNA, 495 nt
Filed under: uncultured bacterium
Lineage: Bacteria
Description: partial 16S ribosomal RNA
Rfam family: Bacterial small subunit ribosomal RNA
Source: RNAcentral
CGAACGCUGGCGGCGUGCCUAAUACAUGCAAGUAGAACGCUGAAGGAAGGAGCUUGCUCUUUCUGGAUGAGUUGCGAACGGGUGAGUAACGCGUAGGUAACCUGCCUGGUAGCGGGGGAUAACUAUUGGAAACGAUAGCUAAUACCGCAUAAAAUUGAUUAUUGCAUGAUAGUCAAUUAAAAGGUGCAACUGCACCACUACCAGAUGGACCUGCGUUGUAUUAGCUAGUUGGUGGGGUAACGGCUCACCAAGGCGACGAUACAUAGCCGACCUGAGAGGGGGAUCGGCCACACUGGGACUGAGACACGGCCCAGACUCCUACGGGAGGCAGCAGUAGGGAAUCUUCGGCAAUGGACGGAAGUCUGACCGAGCAACGCCGCGUGAGUGAAGAAGGUUUUCGGAUCGUAAAGCUCUGUUGUAAGAGAAGAACGAGUGUGAGAGUGGAAAGUUCACACUGUGACGGUAUCUUACCAGAAAGGGACGGCUAACUACGUG